This is a long non-coding RNA of Lolium perenne, 735 nucleotides long. RefSeq lists it as uncharacterized. NCBI's taxonomy places the organism in Eukaryota, Viridiplantae, Streptophyta, Magnoliopsida, Poales, Poaceae. The record is from RefSeq and is a predicted model, not a curated record.
UCUGCAAACAUGCAGAAUCACUGUUUGUUAGAUUUCUUCCGUUUUACAAAACCUUUUUGAGCAAACUCAACUGUGGGUGAAAGCCCUCUCCAGUACCUUAAUUUUGGCGUUGGUUUUACUUCAAAUGACCUCCUGAAAUUGAGAUGGUUCACAGAUCAAGAUCUGGUCAGAUCUGAGUUUGUCGAAUUAAACCAGGAGCUUGGAAACGAAUUUUUGAAUGAAACCAAUUGGGGGAUACUUAGUUUGUGCCAUGGUGAUACCUAGAGAGGCAAUUGCUAAGUCGUGGCACUCUCAUACCUUUACUAGAUUGCGAACGAUUCCGGAGAAGAUGAAGAAGUGGAUCGGAGAAGGAUUUUAUUUAUAUUGUUGGGAUUCUUACAUUGAUGGAGUUGAAGAAGUACAGGGACAAAUAAGCCAAGGCAAGCCAUCUUUUGAUCUCUUGCUAUUUAUCCUUCUUGUUGUGCUCAUUGCUCCAUUAUAUACUUGGUUCCUUGUAUCAUGUGUGAUUUUGGUCCUCUACUCUAUGCAUACUUAUUCCCAAAGUAUGUUGAACCCCUGGUUGAUGCUUUGCAUACUUGCUCCCAAGUAUGUGAACCCCCUUGUUGAUGUUAUGCAUGCUUACCCUAAGCAUGUAUGCCCCCUUGACCAUAUCCAUGUUGUCAUCUUCUUAGUGGUAUGAUGAUUAACAUCAUGACCCCUGUUUGAAUCAUCUUAAUUAUGUUGUACCUAUACAUG